RNAcentral lists this ribosomal RNA (437 nucleotides) under uncultured bacterium. RNAcentral's name for it is "partial 16S ribosomal RNA". It matches the Rfam family "Bacterial small subunit ribosomal RNA", at positions 28 to 507 of the family's 1533-position model. The record is from RNAcentral.
AGCGAACGCUGGCGGCAUGCCUAACACAUGCAAGUCGAGCGAGCCUCUCCGGCUUACAGCCGCGGACGUGUGCGGAACGCGUAGGCACGCCUCCGGAGGUGGGGGACCACCCUGGGACUCCGGGGCUCAUCCCGCAUAUCGCCCGCGGGCCAAAGCAGACGGGGGCCUCCGGGGCGGCCUGCGUCCGGUUAGGUAGUUGGCGGGGUAACGGCCCACCAAGGCCGCGAUCGGUAGCCGGUCUGAGAGGACGAUCGGCCACACUGGGACUGAGACACGGCCCAGACUCCUACGGGAGGCAGCAGUGGGGAAUAUUGCGCAAUGGGCGCAAGCCUGACGCAGCCAUGCCGCGUGAAUGAAGAAGGUCUUCGGAUUGUAAAGCCCUUUCGGCGGGGACGAUGGUGACGGUACCCGCAGAAGAAGCCCCGGCCAACUUCGUG